Molecule: small RNA, 78 nt
Filed under: Mytilus galloprovincialis (Mediterranean mussel)
Lineage: Eukaryota; Metazoa; Mollusca; Bivalvia; Mytilida; Mytilidae
Source: RNAcentral
AUCUAGCGACAUUCACGAUGAAUCAAUAUAUAUAUAUAAAAAUAUAUAUAUAUUGAUUCAUCGUGAAUGUCGCUAGAU